GAUGAACGCUAGCGGCAGGCUUAACACAUGCAAGUCGAGGGGUAGAGUUAGCUUGCUAACUUGAGACCGGCGCACGGGUGCGUAACGCGUAUGCAAUCUACCUUGUACAGAGGGAUAGCCCAGAGAAAUUUGGAUUAAUACCCCAUAGUAUUAUUGAAUGGCAUCAUUUGAUUAUUAUAGUUCCAACGGUACAAGAUGAGCAUGCGUCCCAUUAGCUAGAUGGUAAGGUAACGGCUUACCAUGGCAACGAUGGGUAGGGGUCCUGAGAGGGAGAUCCCCCACGCUGGUACUUGGAGAUGGACCAGACUCCUGCGGGAGGCAGCAGUGAGGAAUAUUGGUCAAUGGGCGCAAGCCUGAACCAGCCGUGCCGCGUGCAGGAAGACGGUCCUAUGGAUUGUAAACUGCUUUUAUACGGGAAGAAACCCUGCUACGUGUAGCAGCUUGACGGUACCGUAAGAAUAAGCAUCGGCUAACUCCGUGCCAGCCGCCGCGGUAA
Molecule: ribosomal RNA, 496 nt
Filed under: uncultured bacterium
Lineage: Bacteria
Description: partial 16S ribosomal RNA
Rfam family: Bacterial small subunit ribosomal RNA
Source: RNAcentral